RNAcentral lists this long non-coding RNA (373 nucleotides) under Erythranthe guttata (spotted monkey flower). RNAcentral describes it as "long non-coding RNA (EGUT_LNC003259)". Lineage: Eukaryota; Viridiplantae; Streptophyta; Magnoliopsida; Lamiales; Phrymaceae. The record is from RNAcentral.
GCCACUUGAAUCAGCUCAAUCGGAAGUCGUAUGAGAAAGUUAUGCUUGAAAUACAAGACAGUGCCACAACCCGCGAUAAUGCACUUUUGCACGUGUUUGGUUUGAUUUUCGGCUUCGCUUCCAAAAUCGUUUCGAAUCGGCAAAAAUAGCUUCUCUUUACCUAAAAUAUAAAUAAAACAAAAACAACAAAAUAUAUACAAAUAAAGCCGAAAACUCGAACGAACGAAGACCAAAACUCGAAGAUUCGAUAAGUAAAAGUCAUGCAAAAUGAACACUUAUCAGAGUGGACGGACCGUUAGUGGCAGAAGUUUCCCAAGCAUUAGAGUAUUCCCAAGGUCUUGCAUCUCUGUUGGGGCUCGGGGUUAUGACUACG